UACGGGGGUGGCAAGCGUUGUUCGGAAUUACUGGGCGUAAAGGGCGCGUAGGCGGGGAGAUAAGUCGGGUGUGAAAUCCCUCGGCUCAACCGAGGAACUGCGCCCGAGACUGUCUUUCUUGAGUCCCGGAGAGGAAGGUGGAAUUCCCGGUGUAGCGGUGAAAUGUGUAGAGAUCGGGAGGAACACCGGUGGCGAAGGCGGCCUUCUGGACGGUGACUGACGCUGAGGCGCGAAAGCGUGGGGAGCAAACGGG
Molecule: ribosomal RNA, 253 nt
Filed under: uncultured bacterium
Lineage: Bacteria
Description: partial 16S ribosomal RNA
Rfam family: Bacterial small subunit ribosomal RNA
Source: RNAcentral